This is a long non-coding RNA of Peromyscus eremicus (cactus mouse), 554 nucleotides long. RefSeq lists it as uncharacterized. NCBI's taxonomy places the organism in Eukaryota, Metazoa, Chordata, Mammalia, Rodentia, Cricetidae. The transcript is spliced from 3 exons. The record is from RefSeq and is a predicted model, not a curated record.
UCCUGAGCUUGGGUUAGGAGUUCUAGUCAUGAGUGUUCUGGGCCAAAGGAAGCAGAACUCAGGUUCUAGAAGCUGUGGCAAUAGAAAGAUGGGUCCUGGACAAGACACGCCUCAGUGAAAAGAGCAACCAGCUCUACUGAACUCUCUUCCCGAUGGUGAUCCACCUCAUCACAUCCCAGAAGCAACGAAGGCAACUUACGAAGGACAGACAGCUCUGAAACCAUGAGCAAAAAUGACUUCCUUCUGCAUGUGGUUUAGCUAAAUGAUGAUGACAUGCUCAUUUGGAUCAGACCCAAAAUUAUUGUAGAGGAAUGGCACUUUGCCUCAUUGCUGGCCUUGGCAUGGAGUCCUCAGAACCAAUACUGGGGAGAGCAUCACUAAGUGACCAAGAUUUGGGCUAUAGUCACAGUGCACGGAGUAAAGUAGUUUCUAAAUUGACUAUAUCAUGCUUAUUAGAGGCUAAAUGGUUUCUGUAGAACACAAGAACCAAUGUAUGUAUUUUCACCAAUUUAAUCAGCAUUCACAGUUACUCCAAUAAAAAUCCAUUUAUAACA